CGGAAGUCUGACCGAGCAACGCCGCGUGAGUGAAGAAGGUUUUCGGAUCGUAAAGCUCUGUUGUAAGAGAAGAACGAGUGUGAGAGUGGAAAGUUCACACUGUGACGGUAUCUUACCAGAAAGGGACGGCUAACUACGUGCCAGCAGCCGCGGUAAUACGUAGGUCCCGAGCGUUGUCCGGAUUUAUUGGGCGUAAAGCGAGCGCAGGCGGUUAGAUAAGUUUGAAGUUAAAGGCUGUGGCUUAACCAUAGUACGCUUUGGAAACUGUUUAACUUGAGUGCAAGAGGGGAGAGUGGAAUUCCAUGUGUAGCGGUGAAAUGCGUAGAUAUAUGGAGGAACACCGGUGGCGAAAGCGGCUCUCUGGCUUGUAACUGACGCUGAGGCUCGAAAGCGUGGGGAGCAAACAGGAUUAGAUACCC
RNAcentral lists this ribosomal RNA (419 nucleotides) under uncultured bacterium. Its description in RNAcentral is "bacterial SSU rRNA". It matches the Rfam family "Bacterial small subunit ribosomal RNA", at positions 376 to 787 of the family's 1533-position model. The record is from RNAcentral.